CGGUCUCCACUCGUCCUUCUCGGCUUCUCCCGGUUAUAUAACUCUUCCUCUCGCCGUGUCCUGGUUUCAACUCCACAGACUCCGCCCUGGAGCAGCGCGGGGAGGGGCAGGAGAGUUGGGGACCCAGACAGGUUCCGGCUGGCGGCCGGCCGGGCCACGGGGGAUCCCGCGGAUGGGAGACGGAGCCCCGCGGGACCCGGUGCCCCCGUCCCCCACCCUCCGCCCCCCCCCGAGAUCUCUCCCGGGAGAGCGAAGGCACAGUAUCUGCGAGAGGCGUGUCGGGACUCCGUCAGAAAUGUUCCCCCAGGCACCAUGCCAGCCCCGUAGUACCACCCACCCCACCCACUGUGGUCUGCUGCACCCCACCGCUGGGGCACUGGUUCCAAUGAGACAGGGCACAUCAGAUUCCAUCUGGUAAGUCCUGCCCCCUGAGCAACACCUGCCCCCACCUGCGACAGUCCAACUCUGCACCACAUGCUUGAAGAGUGGUACGAUCUGGGUCAUGCCCACUCCUCAGAAUGGUCCAGUCCAACUCCGAGCAUCCAUACCCCCACCAUGUGGUGCUUGAGUGGUUCAGCCUUCCUAGUUUAUGGAGCUCCCCCCUGUUGCCUAUGAAUGGUUCGGCCCUGUACUUCAGCAGCCUCUCCACUACCACCAAAAAAUCUUCUCCCCCCACCCCCCAGUGCUACAACUCAGUUGCUUAUUGAAUUGACUUGAGCUAGAGUUUGUAAGCUGCAAGGUAGAGGUGAGCUACCCUGGAGGGAUUUUUCUUGGGGUGGGGUGCCCUAGGAGAGUUGUUGAACAGUCUGGUUUAUGGAUGGUGAUUGGAAAUUGAUUCGGAGACGUAGUGGAGGCCCGUGCCACAACUGGCCUGCCGUUGCCAUGGUAAUCGUGGCAGCUCACCUUCCCUUCCAGAUCCCUUUCUUUUCCGUUCUGUUCCCACUGCGCUAUAUAGCAUUUGCCUGCCCCCCGACACCCUAAGUCUUACUCCUCUCCUCCUUGCCUCUCUCUUUCUGCCAGUUCUCUGCCUGAUGCUCCGUAGGACAGAGCCUCCAUCCCUCAUUCUCUAGGAGAAAAGAUGCUACCUAAGCCAGGGCCUUGAGUUCUCUGGGUGUCGCUCUUCUCCACUACUCACUGAAUUUUAGAGUGGGACUGUUUUCGUCUCUGUGUCUCUAUUUGGCAAGAUGGUUUGCACAUUGGGGUGCCUCAGUGGAAUUGUGCUGAAUGAAUGUGUUAACUGAAUGAGCUUUCUUGCCAAGAAAGCAAUGGCUUCUGGAGAUCUGCUACACAGUGUCCUACCCACACCUGCUCUAGAGGACGUGAGACAUUUGGGAUGGUAGAGAUGCCUGGCGUGCAACCCUGGGGGCAGGCUGACCCAGGAGAUGGCCUGUGAGGGUAAAACCAAGGGAGGGAGAAUAGGACAGAGGCCUUCUAGAAGAGUGGAAAUAAUUGAGGCCCUGGGAAGAAGCCCAGCUCUUCCACUCUCUUGCAGAGUGGACUUGACCAAGUUACCUAACCUCUCAGAGCCUCAAUUUCCUCAUCUGUAAAAUGGGGUAAAAAAAAAAAAAAGUACCUCCUACCUCAGGUUUGGGGGGGUGGUGGUGGGGGGAGUUUUAAAAAAAUAUAUGUGAAGUGCUUAACACAGUGCCAGGCAUGUAAUAAGUAUUCACUAAAUGCUAGCAAUUAUCAUCAUAAUGGGAGCCGCGGGGAGCUGUGAGGAUAAGCAAGGACCUUGAGGAAUUGGACAGAACUUGAUUGAAGGCAGACAGACGCCCAAAUAUUUGACUCAAACAGAAGGAUCACUGAUCCAGCAAGCCGUCAGGAUUCCGGGGAGCGAGGCGAGGAGUCAGCAGGUCAGCCUGCUCCAGUGUUUCCCAGGCUCUGUUCAGGAACAUGAAGGCAAACACAGAAGGGCAUGUGCAGAGACACACGUGAUCACGCAAGUGAUGCAGAGGCAGACCCAGACAAAAGACCGAGACAGGAGCCAGGCAGACACACAGACAGAGACAGCCCCUCAGAGUCCUGUAGACAGGCAUAAUGACAGGAACGCGUCCGACGCAGGCACUGA
Zalophus californianus (California sea lion) is the source of this 2068-nucleotide long non-coding RNA. The record is from Ensembl. NCBI's taxonomy places the organism in Eukaryota, Metazoa, Chordata, Mammalia, Carnivora, Otariidae.